GCUUUGUCCAGCACAUAUCCGUGUGUGUGGAGAGCUCAGAGUCAGUCAUUGGAUCAUGUACGAGUUGGAGAAGGAGUCGUUGCGGCUCUACAGUCACUACAUCGUCCAUUUUUUACGACCCUCUUACAUCCGGGGAUUUCUGACAACAUACCUGGAGGAAGGCACAUGAGAAUAGUUUGGUAACUGAAAGAUUUCACCAUUUGAAACAUGAAGCAAUGGACUGGCAGGUUGUCCAGUGUGUACUCCCAUCUUGUGCUCGGUGUUCCCGAAGUCCAUCGCCACCCAGACCAGGAUAAAGUGCUUACUGAAGAUUAAUGAAUGAAUAACUAAUUAUUUCACCUGGGUGUAUUUUAUUAGCCAUUGGAGAGCAUUCCAUAUGCAGAAGGAGGGUAAGACACGCUGCGAGCAUUCACC
This is a long non-coding RNA of Ictalurus punctatus (channel catfish), 414 nucleotides long. Lineage: Eukaryota; Metazoa; Chordata; Actinopteri; Siluriformes; Ictaluridae. The record is from Ensembl.